RNAcentral lists this long non-coding RNA (2405 nucleotides) under Homo sapiens (human). Its description in RNAcentral is "novel transcript". The record is from RNAcentral. Lineage: Eukaryota; Metazoa; Chordata; Mammalia; Primates; Hominidae.
UAAAUAGAAAGACAUUUAAUGUGCAUGAUCAUAAAAUCUCAAUAUUGUCAAGAUAUAAUUUCUCCCCAAUUUGAGUUAUAGGCAAGAGAGUCACAUCAUCUAGGUGAUUGGCCAAACAUAUGUCACAAUCCCUUCCAUUGACAGCUCCCAAAAAAGGAGUUACAUCACCUAGGUGCUCAGCUCUGAGAUGUGUCACAACAUUGCCCAAUACAGGCAGGCCACAGGCGGGAGAGUCACAUUUCCUGGGUGCUUGGCCCAGUGGUAUGUCACAUUUCCUUAUGUAGGAAGGGCACACGUAGCAAGAGAGAGUCACAUUACCUAGGUACUGUGCUAGAGCUAUCAGUCUCUGUGUCGUUCAAUGUGAGAGUUAUGAUCUCUUUAGACAUCCAUGUAACAGAGCCUCAACUCCUUCAUCCUCAGAUGUAAAGGCUAGUGAAGACCAAAUAAGCCUUGAAAGGUAAUUCCCCUAAAAAGGCAGAAUGUCUUAGGCUUUGGCCUCUCCCCUUCAAGCACAAUGAGAUCAUAACCUCUCUUUUGACUUCUCACUAUGCCCAGCACUGGAACAAAGCUCCUGACUCCACACCCUCACCUUUCCACCCUUGUGCCUUCACUGGGCAGACAAGAGAUGAGAAGACCUGAACUCUGGGACAGUCUGGGGAGAAAAGAAUCCAAAAAGGGUUGAGGCGGCAAGGGCUGAGCUCCCACGGGUGCCCCGGCCCAAAGGUGCAGGUCCAGGCUGUUUUCCAGGUGGCAUUCAGUGCAGGUUCUUCAAUGCCACUGGAAGGCAUGAAAAACCCACUGUAGCUGCUGCUGCUUCCUUUUCUUAAGCUGUGAAAAUGCAAACACUUUUUCAAGGUUUUCAGAUAUGCCCAGGUACCCCCAACUGAAAAGGAGGAUAAUGGCAUUGUUCAUCAUGGCUUAUUGUCUUGCCCAGGCAGGAGCCAGCCCCUGACUCGCCAAUCCAGCUGCCCCAGGCUGGAGGUGAUCCUUUCGAGCCUCCUCCCUGCAACUCCACUCCUCUUUUUUCUCUUCCUCAACCACCGGCAUACUUUUGGUCAUCCUCCUUGUUGUCACAAUGGGGGCGUGAUGCCAUAAAGACCUGGGAACCCCAAUGAUCUCAGGUCCCGCAGGGGUCAGGUGAGCAUAUAGGAAGUCCAGAAGGACAGUCAUCUGCCACCUCCAGUUGAAAAAGAACAAAACCCUCGCACUCCAGAAAUGAGUCAAGAACCCAGCGAAGGCCACAGGUCUAGCCCACAACCACCUAGGUAUGUGGGGUCCUCCAAGGCUCACGCUUGUGUCCUGCAGGCUGGAGCCCAUGCGAGGGUCUGCAGUCUUUGUUCCGGAUGGGGAACUACUGCUUCAGCUGGUUACCCAGGUGUCCCCGAUGGGGAAAGGAAGGAAAUGGUGAGAAUCUUCAGCACAACGGAUCACAUCACCCUGGCAGAGACCAGUCCGGCCUGCGCAUGGCACCAGCAGCCGCAGGCUAGAGGCAGUCAUGUCAGGCCUCCUCCAUACAGCAUCUCUCCUGCUUUUUUUUCAAACGGUCCUAAUCACUUAAUUUGGUCAUCUUCCCUGUCACAAUGGGGCACCUGGCGCUAUAGACACUUGGGAAACACACAGAUCUGGGGUCCUACAGUGUCCAGGUGAAGACGCCGGGAGUCAGAGAGGAAAGUCUUUUGAAGCCUCCAAAAGGAAUGCACAGGACCCCACUUGAAGAGGUGGAGUGCCCAGUGGCGGAUACAGGCCCCACACAUCGCAGCAGUAAACAGGGACUCCACGGUGUCCAGCUCUCCAGCCUGGGGUUUCUCAUCACCCAGUGAUUCCAAAAGAAAGGAUCUACAAUGGCAUGACUAAGUUCCAGAAACAAAUAAACAAAAUACUGAGGGAAGCCCGUUGGUCACUUUGAUUCUUCAAAGGUGACAAUUGUCCCUCCCUGAAAUCUUGUGAGUGCAUGAACAGGCUAUUCUAAUGUAAAUGAAAUUCACACUAAAACUGAUUGAAAGAUGAUUCUGUUUCCAAGGUACUUUGUAUUCUCAAAUUGCACCUGCUUACCCUGGCCCCCUCAAAAUGGAAGAGUGAUGACUAUUUGUCUUCGUAGCACUGUGGGGACACAGAGCCUUAAAUGGAAGAGUGUCAAAAGCAACAUUCCAUAAAGGGCUGUCACUUCCAAUUUUCAAGCAAGGUUGGAAACCAACCAUGAUGUAUGAAACACUGUUGGCCAAAGUGCACAAUUAGUAAUACAAAAUGAAUAAUAUAAACUAUUGUAAAUAUGUGUGGACAUCGUGGCAAUUUGGACAUCAAAAAACACUGCCAAAUUCAGAAAGAGGAAGCUGUAAACUCAUGGCUGUUAGGAAGCUUAACUUCUGUGUACUAGAACCUAUCAAAAUUAAAUUUCUCCAUGUCAA